UAAAAACAUUUUGCAAAGUUAUGCUGAGUUUUUAAAUGUUGCAAUAUUGUUUUGAAAAUAAUGUUUUUUGCAGCACAUUCUUAUUUUUGCAGAGGGUAUCCAGGGGAAACCACCUAAUGAUAUUGUGAUUAUGAUAUUUUAAAUUUAAUACUAUUUAAUAAAUAAAUAAUUUUUAACUUAAAAUAUAUAAGUAAUAUAUAGCUUUCAGUAUAUCUGUUUUAUUGCAGUUUUUUACCCAAUGCUUCACAAGCGUUAUGUAAUAUGUAUAAAUCUGGUGAAAAGUUUGGAUUCUCAAAAUCUAACAUUUACAGAGCAAUAGUUGAUGUUGUUCUUUUCAAGAACAAAGAGGCUACUACAUCUGAAAUAUGCCAAAUAAUCAUGCUUCAACUAAAACAUGCGCCUCGGCGAUCCAAUGGUGGAGAAUCGAUUAUUCGCAAGUUUCCUAAUGAAGAAUAAUCGUUGUCAGAGAUGCUUUUUUAUGCUGAUUUUUAUGUAUAGCUUUGCUGCUAAAAGUAAUUUAAAAAGAAAGAAUGUUAACGAA
Molecule: long non-coding RNA, 541 nt
Organism: Hydra vulgaris (swiftwater hydra)
Lineage: Eukaryota; Metazoa; Cnidaria; Hydrozoa; Anthoathecata; Hydridae
Source: RefSeq, a predicted model, not a curated record